Peromyscus eremicus (cactus mouse) is the source of this 104-nucleotide small nuclear RNA. Lineage: Eukaryota; Metazoa; Chordata; Mammalia; Rodentia; Cricetidae. The record is from RefSeq and is a predicted model, not a curated record.
AUACUCACUUCAGCAGCACAUAUACUAAAAUUGGAAAGAUGCAGAGAUUAGCGUGGCCCCUGUGCAAGGAUGAUACUCAAGUUAGUGAAACGUUCCAUUUUUUU